GACAGAAAAAAUAUAGGAGAGAAAAAAAUGAGAGAAGCAAAAGUAACUUUUGAAGGUUUAGUUACGGAAGCCCUACCCAACGGAAUGUUCCACGUUUGGCUAGAGAAUGACACCAUCAUCCUAUAUAUUUCAGGAAAGAUACGGUCUAGUUCUAUACGAAUACUCAUGGGGGAUCGGGUCAAAAUUGAAGUAAGUCGUUAUGAUUCAAGCAAAUUUAGAACUAGUUAA
This 228-nucleotide ribosomal RNA is filed under the name Triticum aestivum (bread wheat). RNAcentral's name for it is "partial small subunit ribosomal RNA". Lineage: Eukaryota; Viridiplantae; Streptophyta; Magnoliopsida; Poales; Poaceae. The record is from RNAcentral.